AUUGAACGCUGGCGGCAGGCCUAACACAUGCAAGUCGAACGGUAACAGGAAGAAGCUUGCUUCUUUGCUGACGAGUGGCGGACGGGUGAGUCAUGUCUGGGAAACUGCCUGAUGGAGGGGGAUAUCUACUGGAAACGGUAGCUAAUACCGCAUAACGUCGCAAGACCAAAGAGGGGGACCUUCGGUCCUCUUGCCAUCGUAUGUGCCCAGCUGGGAUUAGCUAGUAGGUGGGGUAACGGCUCACCUAGGCGACGAUCCCUAGCUGGUCUGAGAGGAUGACCAGCCACACUGGAACUGAGACACGGUCCAGACUCCUACGGGAGGCAGCAGUGGGGAAUAUUGCACAAUGGGCGCAAGCCUGAUGCAGCCAUGCCGCGUGUAUGAAGAAGGCCUUCGGGUUGUAAAGUACUUUCAGCGGGGAGGAAGGGAGUAAAGUUAAUACCUUGGCUCAUUGACGUUACCCGCAGAAGAAGCACCGGCUAACUCCGUG
RNAcentral lists this ribosomal RNA (490 nucleotides) under uncultured bacterium. RNAcentral's name for it is "partial 16S ribosomal RNA". It matches the Rfam family "Bacterial small subunit ribosomal RNA", at positions 30 to 507 of the family's 1533-position model. The record is from RNAcentral.